This 315-nucleotide ribosomal RNA is filed under the name uncultured Pseudomonadota bacterium. RNAcentral's name for it is "bacterial SSU rRNA". It matches the Rfam family "Bacterial small subunit ribosomal RNA", at positions 30 to 351 of the family's 1533-position model. Lineage: Bacteria; Pseudomonadati; Pseudomonadota. The record is from RNAcentral.
AUUGAACGCUGGCGGUAUGCUUAACACAUGCAAGUCGAACGGUAGCAGGCCUUCGGGCGCUGACGAGUGGCGGACGGGUGAGUAAUGCAUAGGAAUCUGCCUAUUAGUGGGGGACAACGUGGGGAAACUCACGCUAAUACCGCAUACGCCUACGGGGAAGCUGGGACCUUCGGGCCUGGCGCUAAUAGAUGAGCCUGCGUUAGAUUAGCUAGUUGGUAGGGUAAAGGCCUACCAAGGCGACGAUCUAUAGCUGGUCUGAGAGGACGAUCAGCCACACUGGGACUGAGACACGGCCCAGACACCUACGGGUGGCAG